GACGAACGCUGGCGGCGUGCUUAACACAUGCAAGUCGAACGAAGUGGCGAACGGGUGAGUAACGCGUAAUCAACCUGCCCUUCAGAGGGGGACAACAGUUGGAAACGACUGCUAAUACCGCAUACUGAAGGAGGGGAUUGCGUCUGAUUAGCUAGUUGGAGGGGUAACGGCCCACCAAGGCGAUGAUCAGUAGCCGGUGGGGGAGGAGAGACGGCCACAUUGGGACUGAGUGACGGCCCAGACUCCUACGGGAGGCAGAAGAGGGGAAUCUUCCGAAAUGGAUGAAAGUCUGACGGAGCAACGCCGCGUGAGUGAUGAGGGCCUUCGGGUUGUAAAGAUCUGUUAAUCGGGACGCGGUACCGGAAUAGAAAGCCACGGCUAACUACGGGCCAGCAGCCGCGGGAAUAC
Molecule: ribosomal RNA, 408 nt
Filed under: uncultured bacterium
Lineage: Bacteria
Description: partial 16S ribosomal RNA
Rfam family: Bacterial small subunit ribosomal RNA
Source: RNAcentral